Long non-coding RNA from Eucalyptus grandis, 729 nucleotides. RefSeq lists it as uncharacterized. Lineage: Eukaryota; Viridiplantae; Streptophyta; Magnoliopsida; Myrtales; Myrtaceae. The record is from RefSeq and is a predicted model, not a curated record. The transcript is spliced from 2 exons.
UUCUCGACUUUCCUUUUUUUCCCCUAAGGAAAAGUGGCGUAGAGAAUGUGAUUAUGCCCCCAAGUGGUUGAUGGUAAGUAAGCUAUGCAUCAAAAGAUUAUUCUACUACAAAUUUAAUGCAUCUUGCUUUGUACUUGUCCUUUUCUUGGGGAGGUCUUAAGGAAUGGAACUCCACUCUAUGGUGAUCAACGCUGGACAUUGGAGAGUCGAUUCAAAAGGGUCCAUCACAUCUUCAGGCAUCCACAGAUUCUUCGUCAUUGCUCACCAUGGAACUUCCUUUGCUCAGGAACCCACAUCUUUCAAGUUGCAUCCUGGUGGGGUCAAUAUCAACACUCGAGGCUUCCAUUAAUGGAGAGGUUCCUAGAAGUUUGCUUGGUGAAGCUGAGGAUGAGGAAUGAAUGACAAGCAUAACUUUUUUAACCAAAAGUGGAAUAUCCCUCCCCAUCCAUGUACCCACUUCCCUAAUAUAGUGGUAGGUCGUUCAUGGUGGCCCUUCUUCUUUGGCUCUAUAAUCUUGGAAGCAACAAGCGUUAUCGUUCCUUUUUCUGGCCAGGUUGGUUUCCUUGGAUUUGUUCCGGCGUGAUUGAUCAAAAGAUGGAGAGACGACGACUCUCCCAUUGCUUCCCCCACUUUUUUCUUAAGAAAAGACAAGAUCAGGAGAUGGUUGUGGAAAAAAGGACCAGUUGAAAAAAAUGGAAAGGGACUUGACGUUGGUGUUUCUGCUGGUAA